RNAcentral lists this ribosomal RNA (849 nucleotides) under uncultured bacterium. RNAcentral describes it as "bacterial SSU rRNA". It matches the Rfam family "Bacterial small subunit ribosomal RNA", at positions 8 to 857 of the family's 1533-position model. The record is from RNAcentral.
AGAGUUUGAUCAUGGCUCAGAUUGAACGCUGGCGGAAUGCUUUACACAUGCAAGUCGAACGGUAGAGGGGGCAACCCCUCGAGAGUGGCGAACGGGUGAGUAAUAUAUCGGAACGUGCCCAGUCGUGGGGGAUAACGUAGCGAAAGUUACGCUAAUACCGCAUACGAUCUACGGAUGAAAGCGGGGGAUCGCAAGACCUCGCGCGAUUGGAGCGGCCGAUAUCAGAUUAGGUAGUUGGUGGGGUAAAGGCUCACCAAGCCAACGAUCUGUAGCUGGUCUGAGAGGACGACCAGCCACACUGGAACUGAGACACGGUCCAGACUCCUACGGGAGGCAGCAGUGGGGAAUUUUGGACAAUGGACGCAAGUCUGAUCCAGCCAUUCCGCGUGCAGGAUGAAGGCCCUCGGGUUGUAAACUGCUUUUGUACGGAACGAAAAGGUUUCUAUUAAUACUAGGAGCUCAUGACGGUACCGUAAGAAUAAGCACCGGCUAACUACGUGCCAGCAGCCGCGGUAAUACGUAGGGUGCAAGCGUUACUCGGAAUUACUGGGCGUAAAGCGUGCGCAGGCGGUUAUGUAAGACAGAGGUGAAAUCCCCGGGCUCAACCUGGGAACUGCCUUUGUGACUGCAUAGCUAGAGUACGGUAGAGGGGGAUGGAAUUCCGCGUGUAGCAGUGAAAUGCGUAGAUAUGCGGAGGAACACCGAUGGCGAAGGCAAUCCCCUGGACCUGUACUGACGCUCAUGCACGAAAGCGUGGGGAGCAAACAGGAUUAGAUACCCUGGUAGUCCACGCCCUAAACGAUGUCAACUGGUUGUUGGGUCUUCACUGACUCAGUAACGAAGCUAACG